Molecule: long non-coding RNA, 1009 nt
Organism: Astatotilapia calliptera (eastern happy)
Lineage: Eukaryota; Metazoa; Chordata; Actinopteri; Cichliformes; Cichlidae
Source: Ensembl
GGGUUUGUCACGUGGGUUGGGGCUAAAGUAAGGAAUAGGGUUGGGGCCAGAUUAAGGUUAAUUAGGUUAGGGUUAGGGCCAGAUUAAUGGAGUGGUUAGGGUUAGGGCCAGAAUAUGGGUUGGGGCUCAUUUUAGGGUUAGGGUUAGGGUAGGGGUUAGGGGUUAGGGGUUAGGGUUAGGUUAGGGGCCUAUUGAUCUUGUACAGUCACUAUUGUGAGUCCGGUGCACUGGCAACAGCUGCCUGGUCACUGUCACUCAUGUCUCACCCCUUGUGGCAAACCAGUCUAUUAUCACUCUCAUUAGAAGAAAAAAAAUUCAAUUGAAGACACAAUAUUCUUUUUUUUUUUUUUUUUUUUUUUUUUUUUUUUUUUUUUUUUUUUUUGCCCCAGCAUGUACCUCUCCAACUUUUAUUGUCAUGUCAAGAGUCUCACAAAGCAGCAAUAAUUGUCAAUACAAUUGAAAGGGAGCAAUUCAGACUGCGUUCAGGCCCCGUGGAUGUUGAGUUCGCAGUCUGGAAAUCCACAAUCUCUCAUAUCUCCUCCUCUGGCCCUCCGUCCAUGUCGCACAGGUUUGAAGUCCCGUUAUACUGAGAUGUUGUAAUGUGUGAAUUUGGAAGUGCAAUACUAGUGGAGUGUCCAGUCCAUUCCUCUCAAUAUUGUAAAUAUGUUGUUUUAACCUCUCCAACAGAGUUUGACCUGUUUCACCCACAUAGAGUAGACCACAUUCUUCGCAACAGAUGCAAUAAACGAUGUUGCUCGUGUUUAGGGACAUUCUCUGUAAGAUGGGUGCCCCUAUUUUCCCAUAAGGAUUAUACAAGAACCGUUUCGGUUGAAAGGCCCAAUGAUUGGGUUUCCCCGAUCUUAUACGUCUCAUCUGUUCUGGCAACUUGGCCCUGACGAGCAUAUCUCUCAGAUUCUUGUUCCUCCUGUGGGCUGAAAUCACUCUGCAGUCUUGGAGUCGUAUCAAACCAGAGGUGUAUUUCUUAAAGUUUGUUUUGAGUUGAUGAUGC